This 465-nucleotide ribosomal RNA is filed under the name uncultured bacterium. Its description in RNAcentral is "partial 16S ribosomal RNA". It matches the Rfam family "Bacterial small subunit ribosomal RNA", at positions 28 to 507 of the family's 1533-position model. The record is from RNAcentral.
GACGAACGCUGGCGGCGUGCUUAACACAUGCAAGUCGUACGGUAAGGCCCUUUCGGGGGUACACGAGUGGCGAACGGGUGAGUAACACGUGAGUAACCUGCCCACAACUUUGGGAUAACGCUAGGAAACUGGUGCUAAUACUGGAUAUGUGCUCCUGCUGCAUGGUGGGGGUUGGAAAGCUCCGGCGGUUGUGGAUGGACUCGCGGCCUAUCAGCUUGUUGGUGGGGUAGUGGCCUACCAAGGCGGCGACGGGUAGCCGGCCUGGGAGGGUGACCGGCCACAUUGGGACUGAGAUACGGCCCAGAAUCCUACGGGAGGCAGCAGUGGGGAAUAUUGCACAAUGGGCGCAAGCCUGAUGCAGCAACGCCGCGUGCGGGAUGACGGCCUUCGGGUUGUAAACCGCUUUCAGCAGGGACGAAGCUUUUUGUGACGGUACCUGCAGAAGAAGCACCGGCUAACUACGUG